GUCCACGCUGUAAACGAUGUCUGCUAGCCGUUGGGAUCCUUGAGGUUUCAGUGGCGCAGCUAACGCGAUAAGCAGACCGCCUGGGGAGUACGGCCGCAAGGUUAAAACUCAAAUGAAUUGACGGGGCCCGCACAAGCGGUGGAGCAUGUGGUUUAAUUCGAUGCAACGCGAAGAACCUUACCAGGUCUUGACAUCCAGAGAACUGUUCAGAGAUGGACGGGUGCCUUCGGAGCUCUGAGACAGGUGCUGCAUGGCUGUCGU
RNAcentral lists this ribosomal RNA (261 nucleotides) under uncultured bacterium. RNAcentral describes it as "partial 16S ribosomal RNA". It matches the Rfam family "Bacterial small subunit ribosomal RNA", at positions 793 to 1055 of the family's 1533-position model. The record is from RNAcentral.